RNAcentral lists this ribosomal RNA (274 nucleotides) under uncultured bacterium. RNAcentral's name for it is "partial 16S ribosomal RNA". It matches the Rfam family "Bacterial small subunit ribosomal RNA", at positions 523 to 796 of the family's 1533-position model. The record is from RNAcentral.
AUACGAGGGGUGCAAGCGUUAUUCGGAAUCAUUGGGCGUAAAGGGUGUGUAGACGGCAUGUUAAGUCCGCUGUUAAAUUUUUCGGCCUAACUGAAAACCUGCAGUAGAUACUGGCAAGCUAGAGGAUGGAAGAGAGAAGUGGAAUUCUCGGAGUAGCGGUAAAAUGCGUAGAUCUCGAGAGGAACACCGAUGGCGAAGGCAGCUUCUUGGUCCAUAUCUGACGUUGAGACACGAAAGCGUGGGGAGCAAACAGGAUUAGAAACCCCAGUAGUCC